AUGGCUCCCUCGAGCAGUACAAGGCGCGGUGGGUUGUGCGCGGGUUCUCUCAGCGGCCCGGCGUCGACUUUGAUGAGACGUUCUCUCCCGUCGUCAACGCGGCCACGAUCCGUGUCGUCCUCACCAUUGCUGCUACGCGCGACUGGCCUGUCCAUCAAAUGGACGUCAACAACGCCUUCCUGCACAGGCGCCUCGCCGAGCGCGUCUACUGUCAACAACCUGCAGGCUUCGUAG
RNAcentral lists this ribosomal RNA (234 nucleotides) under Triticum aestivum (bread wheat). RNAcentral describes it as "partial small subunit ribosomal RNA". Lineage: Eukaryota; Viridiplantae; Streptophyta; Magnoliopsida; Poales; Poaceae. The record is from RNAcentral.